AUAAUAAUUUGUCCUAUAAUUAAGGAAUUGAAUGAAUGAUUUAAUGAAAAAAUUAUUGUCUCAAAUUUAAUAUUAAAAUUUAUUUUUUAAGUUAAAAAACUUAAAUAGAAUUAAAAGACGAGAAGACCCUAUAGAACUUAAUAUUUUUAAUUUUUUAUUUAAAAUUUAAAAAUAUUUAAUUGGGAGGAUUAUUAAAUUUAAUUAACUUUAAUAAAAAUAAAAAUAUAUAAAUUUAAAUUAAAAGAUCCAAAAUUUUUGAUUUUCAAAAAAAGUUACCUUAGGGAUAACAGCAUAAUUUUUUUAAAUAGUUCAUAUUGAUAAAAAAGUUUAU
RNAcentral lists this ribosomal RNA (331 nucleotides) under Labidogonalos sp. JC18. RNAcentral describes it as "partial 16S ribosomal RNA". The record is from RNAcentral. Lineage: Eukaryota; Metazoa; Arthropoda; Insecta; Hymenoptera; Trigonalidae.